UAGGGAAUCUUCCGCAAUGGACGAAAGUCUGACGGAGCAACGCCGCGUGAGUGAAGAAGGCCUUCGGGUCGUAAAACUCUGUUGCCGGGGAAGAACAAGUGCCGUUCGAACAGGGCGGCGCCUUGACGGUACCCGGCCAGAAAGCCACGGCUAACUAC
RNAcentral lists this ribosomal RNA (158 nucleotides) under uncultured Bacillus sp. Its description in RNAcentral is "partial 16S ribosomal RNA". It matches the Rfam family "Bacterial small subunit ribosomal RNA", at positions 355 to 504 of the family's 1533-position model. The record is from RNAcentral. Lineage: Bacteria; Bacillati; Bacillota; Bacilli; Caryophanales; Bacillaceae.